This 115-nucleotide ribosomal RNA is filed under the name Salvia splendens (bonfire salvia). Lineage: Eukaryota; Viridiplantae; Streptophyta; Magnoliopsida; Lamiales; Lamiaceae. The record is from RNAcentral.
GCAAUCAUACCAGCACUAAUGCACCGGAUCCCAUCAGAACUCCGAAGUUAAGCGUGCUUGGGCGAGAAUAGUACUAGGAUGGGUGACCCCUUGGGAAGUCCUCGUUUUUCACCCC